This 249-nucleotide long non-coding RNA is filed under the name Homo sapiens (human). RNAcentral's name for it is "LHRI_LNC165.1". Lineage: Eukaryota; Metazoa; Chordata; Mammalia; Primates; Hominidae. The record is from RNAcentral.
AGCUUCUGAAAGCUAUCUGAAAAGAGGUUUUUUUCUGCUGGAAUGCUCUGAUUUCAUGGCUGAGGUUAGAGUGACUUUGUCAGACAUUGCUGUGGUGUGCUACAGGUUUGGAGAAACCAAUGGUACAGAAAACUGAGGCUUAGAAAUAUAAUGCUGUUGACUGGGUGUGAUGGCUCACACCUGUAAUCCCAAAGCGCUGGGAUUACAGGCGUGAGCCACUGCACCCAGCCGGGAGAGCUUUUAAGGAGG